GUAGAGGAGGCAGGUAGACUAGUGGUUAGAGUGUAGAGGAGGCAGGUAGCCUAGUGGUUAGAGGAGGCAGGUAGCCUAGUGGUUAGAGUAAAGAGGAGGCAGGUAGACUAGUGGUUAGAGUGUAGAGGUGGCAGGUAGCCUAGUGGUUAGAGUGUAGAGGAGGCAGGUAGACUAGUGGUUAGAGUGUAGAGGAGGCAGGUAGCCUAGUGGUUAGAGUGUAGAGGAGGCAGGUAGCCUAGUGGUUAGAGUGUAGAGGAGGCAGGUAGCCUAGUGGUUAGAGUGUAGAGGAGGCAGGUAGUCUAGUGGUUAGAGUGUAGAGGAGGCAGGUAGACUAGUGGUUAGAGUGUAGAGGAGGCAGGUAGCCUAGUGGUUAGAGUGUAGAGGAGGCAGGUAGCCUAGUGGUUAGAGUAGGCCGUAAUUGUAAAUAAGAAUUUGUUCUUAACGGACUAGUUAAAUACUGGUUAAAUGAAUAAACAUGUAAAGUCUGACUGUGUCCUGGCUCUAGCUGUGGUGUGUUGGGAGCGGUUAGAGUUGGGUUGUCUGCUGGUCGUUGUCUCUCCAUCACUCUCACUGGAGCUCACAAUACGCUGGGCCUUCCGACCAGCACGCCUCAACAAUGGCUUCCUAAAACACACACACAGGUCAGAUAGAGACAGACGGGUCAGAUCG
Oncorhynchus tshawytscha (Chinook salmon) is the source of this 669-nucleotide long non-coding RNA. The record is from Ensembl. Lineage: Eukaryota; Metazoa; Chordata; Actinopteri; Salmoniformes; Salmonidae.